Molecule: transfer RNA, 57 nt
Organism: Cavia porcellus (domestic guinea pig)
Lineage: Eukaryota; Metazoa; Chordata; Mammalia; Rodentia; Caviidae
Rfam family: tRNA
About the family: Transfer RNA (tRNA) molecules are approximately 80 nucleotides in length. Their secondary structure includes four short double-helical elements and three loops (D, anti-codon, and T loops). Further hydrogen bonds mediate the characteristic L-shaped molecular structure. tRNAs have two regions of fundamental functional importance: the anti-codon, which is responsible for specific mRNA codon recognition, and the 3' end, to which the tRNAs corresponding amino acid is attached (by aminoacyl-tRNA synthetases). tRNAs cope with the degeneracy of the genetic code in two manners: having more than one tRNA (with a specific anti-codon) for a particular amino acid; and 'wobble' base-pairing, i.e. permitting non-standard base-pairing at the 3rd anti-codon position.
Source: Rfam
AGCUCAGCGGCAUAAGCGCCUGCCUUGCAAGCAGGCAGUCAUGAGUUCGAUCCCCAU